UCCAAGGUAGCCUAGUGGACAUGGCAUCUGUCCGGUAAGCGGAAUACUGUGGGUUCGAUUCCCAUCCCUUGAAA
Non-coding RNA from Cordylochernes scorpioides, 74 nucleotides. Lineage: Eukaryota; Metazoa; Arthropoda; Arachnida; Pseudoscorpiones; Chernetidae. The record is from the annotation of a GenBank genome assembly.